This 1273-nucleotide ribosomal RNA is filed under the name Tenebrionoidea sp. 9 KM-2017. RNAcentral describes it as "16S ribosomal RNA". The stretch from base 1034 to 1192 matches the Rfam family "Archaeal large subunit ribosomal RNA", at positions 2542 to 2701 of the family's 2987-position model. The record is from RNAcentral. Lineage: Eukaryota; Metazoa; Arthropoda; Insecta; Coleoptera.
GUUAAAAAAAUUAUUUUUAAUUUGAUUUUUAAAUUUUUGUCUAAAGAUUUAUUUUUUGUAUUAUUUUUAUAGAAAUAAUAUUUUUUAUUAAAGUUGAUAGUACUGUGAAGGAAUUUUUUUAAACAUAAAAAAGAAAGUUUAUUGCUGUACCUUGUGUAUCAGGGUUAAUUUAUUUAAUAUUUUAUAUAAAGUUUUCCCGAAUUUAAAAGAGUUAUGUUGAAAUUUAUUUUAAUGUGAAAUAAUUAUUUAAAAUUUCAAUAUAGAAAUGAAACGUUAUUCGUUUUUAAAUAUAUCUGGUUUUCUAAGAAAUGAAUUUAAUUCAGCUUUCUUUAAUAUAAAAAUUAAUUUUUAUUUUUAUUUUUGGGAAAUUUAAUAUUCAAGGGGAUAAGCUUUUGAAUAAAUUCUUAUAAAUUUUUUAUUUUGAAAAAUAUAUAGGAUUAGAAUUUUCCAUUAUUUAAAGGAUGUUAUAAUUUAAUUUUUUUUAUUAAUAUUUUUAUUUUUUUUAAUUAUUUAUUAGGAAGUUAAUAUGAAUGGUUAAUAUUAAGCUAUAAUGAUUGAAUUAGUAUAUUUUUAUUUAAUAUUAUUUUUUAUGUUUUAGUUGUUAGUAAGGAACUCGGCAACAAUAUUUUUCACCUGUUUAUUAAAAACAUGUCCUUUAGAAUAUAAUUUAAGGUCUGACCUGCCCAAUGAUUUUUGAAUGGCCGCAGUAUUUUGACUGUGCAAAGGUAGCAUAAUCAUUAGUUUUUUAAAUGGAAGCUGGUAUGAAUGGUUUGAUGAAAAAAUAUCUGUCUCAUUAACAAUUUAAUUGAACUUUAUUUUUGAGUUAAAAAGCUUAAAUUUUUUAAAAAGACGAGAAGACCCUAUAGAGUUUUAUUUAUUUAAAUUUAAAUAUUUUUUGGAUUUUUAUAUUAUUUAUUUUUAGAUAUUUUUUAUUGGGGUGAUAUAAAAAUUUAACUAACUUUUUAUUUAUUUUUACAUUAAUAUAUGAAUUUUUGAUCCUAAAUUUUAGAUUAUAAGAAUAAAUUACCUUAGGGAUAACAGCGUAAUUUUCUUAGAGAGUUCUAAUCGAAAAGAGAGUUUGCGACCUCGAUGUUGGAUUAAAAUUAAAUUUGGGUGUAGAAGCUUAAAUUUUUGGUCUGUUCGACCAUUGAAAUUUUACAUGAUCUGAGUUUAGACCGGCGUGAGCCAGGUUGGUUUCUAUCUUUUAAUUUUUAUAGUAUUUUAGUACGAAAGGACCAAAUACUAGAAUUAUAUUUUUAUUUUGAAUUUUAUU